UACGUAGGGUGCGAGCGUUGUCCGGAAUCAUUGGGCGUAAAGCGCACGUAGGCGGUCCGUUAAGUCUCAUAGGUGAAAGGCUGGGGCUCAACCCCAUGCAUGCCGGGGAUACUGGCGGACUGGAGACAGGUAGAGGCGAGCGGAAUUCCGGGUGUAGCGGUGGAAUGCGUAGAGAUCCGGAAGAACACCGGAGGCGAAGGCGGCUCGCUGGACCUGAUCUGACGCUGAGACGCGAAAGCGUGGGGAGCAAACAGG
RNAcentral lists this ribosomal RNA (255 nucleotides) under uncultured bacterium. RNAcentral describes it as "partial 16S ribosomal RNA". It matches the Rfam family "Bacterial small subunit ribosomal RNA", at positions 524 to 776 of the family's 1533-position model. The record is from RNAcentral.